UGGGUGGAUCAGUGGCGAACGGGUGAGUAACACGUGAGCAACCUGCCCUCCACUUCGGGAUAAGCCUUGGAAACGGGGUCUAAUACCGGAUAUGAGCUCCUGCUGCAUGGCGGGGGUUGGAAAGUUUUUCGGUGGGGGAUGGGCUCGCGGCCUAUCAGCUUGUUGGUGGGGUAAUGGCCUACCAAGGCGUCGACGGGUAGCCGGCCUGAGAGGGCGACCGGCCACACUGGGACUGAGACACGGCCCAGACUCCUACGGGAGGCAGCAGUGGGGAAUAUUGCACAAUGGGCGAAAGCCUGAUGCAGCGACGCCGCGUGAGGGAUGACGGCCUUCGGGUUGUAAACCUCUUUCAGCAGGGAAGAAGCGCAAGUGACGGUACCUGCAGAAGAAGCGCCGGCUAACUACGUGCCAGCAGCCGCGGUAAUACGUAGGGCGCAAGCGUUGUCCGGAAUUAUUGGGCGUAAAGAGCUCGUAGGCGGUUUGUCGCGUCUGGUGUGAAAACCUCAGGCUCAACCUGGGGCGUGCAUCGGGUACGGGCAGACUAGAGUGCGGUAGGGGAGACUGGAAUUCCUGGUGUAGCGGUGGAAUGCGCAGAUAUCAGGAGGAACACCGAUGGCGAAGGCAGGUCUCUGGGCCGCAACUGACGCUGAGGAGCGAAAGCAUGGGGAGCGAACAGGAUUAGAUACCCUGGUAGUCCAUGCCGUAAACGUUGGGCACUAGGUGUGGGGCUCAUUCCACGAGUUCCGUGCCGCAGC
RNAcentral lists this ribosomal RNA (755 nucleotides) under Actinomycetes bacterium. RNAcentral's name for it is "bacterial SSU rRNA". It matches the Rfam family "Bacterial small subunit ribosomal RNA", at positions 84 to 852 of the family's 1533-position model. The record is from RNAcentral. Lineage: Bacteria; Bacillati; Actinomycetota; Actinomycetes.